Molecule: long non-coding RNA, 1109 nt
Filed under: Phoenix dactylifera (date palm)
Lineage: Eukaryota; Viridiplantae; Streptophyta; Magnoliopsida; Arecales; Arecaceae
Description: long non-coding RNA (PDAC_LNC015891)
Source: RNAcentral
GCAUAUGACUUCCUCAGCCGACACUGAAACACGGAAACUUCUUCCAUUAGGAAUGCACAUCUAGCCUUAAAAUGACCAGGACAUUAUGUAUAAAUAAUCAUAAUCAAAAAAUGAAGUAUAUCUGGCAGUAACACAUACCAUCAGCUUUGGACUCUGAUAUAGGCGUGCUUUCUGUUGCUGGAAAUUGGACCCGGAGGUGACCGCGGAACGAGGAGGAGGCGCUCCAGCUGGUUGUGUGGUGGCGGACGGCUAUCUCCGGCGGACCUGCAAGAAAUCUGUAGCCGGAGGUUCCGGCACAGGUCCUCCGAUGCUUAAGUCAGAGAGGAGGUUUUUGUGGAGAGAAGUAAUGGAGAUAAGCAAAGUAUGAAUCUAUUUUUUGGCCCGAGGGUAAGAAGAAGUCCCUUGCUUAGAGCUCUCCCCCUUUUUAAAGGAGGGGGUGUAGCGGUUACCUAUGAUCGGACGUGAUCGUGCAAGUUAAUGAGUUACCGUAAUCGGCUCGAGAUUUCGGGCUAGCUGGCGAUCCGUUGAGAUCGUGCGGAUAUGAAUGUUGACAGCCGUUGAGACGGAGAUUGCGAGAUUUGAUCCCAGAUAUGGAGGAGGAGGACUUGAUUUUCAAUGGAGUGGGGAGGUCCGCUUCUCUCUUUGACUGGGUCUUUCUUGGCUUUAAGGUCGAUCGAGCUUAACUCAGCCGGAAUCGAGGUUAUGAGCUCCGGGGUCGUUGGUGCCGAGACCGAGUGAUCUGAGGUCGGGCGCUCUGAGAGUAUGCUUGUUGUCGUCACAUUCGUCAUCAAGUGCCGGCAAAUUGAUCACGUGCUUUGAGUGAUCCAUUUUUAACCCAACACUUUUCAUAACUCCAACACCAGCAGCAUGGGCAUCAAUAAGUGAAGUUCCAACGGGUGUUCCAGCUAAUAGGCCUAGCUCCUAAAUUGAAAAAGAUCUUUAAAAGGAUUAAAAGAGAUGCAGUGUGGAUACUACAACUUGACAUACAGCCACCCUCCAAUAAGCAAUUUAUAUAGUUGGCCUAUUUUUCAGUAACAUGUGUGUUCACCGCAUUAAUGAUCUCAAAGCAUUGCCAUUGAAAUCAGACUUCAUGCGUCAGAACAGAAUCC